AUUGAACGCUGGCGGCAGGCCUAACACAUGCAAGUCGAGCGGAUGAAGGGAGCUUGCUCCUGGAUUCAGCGGCGGACGGGGGAGUAAUGCCUAGGAAUCUGCCUGGUAUUGGGGUAUAACGUCCGGAAACGGGCGCUAAUACCGCAUACGUCCUGCGGGUGCAGGUGGGGGGGCUUCGGACCUCACGCUAUCAGAUGAGCCUAGGUCGGAUUAGCUAGUUGGUGGGGUAAAGGCCUACCAAGGCGACGAUCCGUAACUGGUCUGAGAGGAUGAUCAGUCACACUGGAACUGAGACACGGUCCAGACUCCUACGGGAGGCCGCAGUGGGGAAUAUUGGACAAUGGGCGAAAGCAUGAUACAGCCAUGCCGCGUGUGUGAAGAAGGUCUUCGGAUUGUAAAGCACUUUAAGUUGGGAGGAAGGGCAGUAAGUUAAUACCUUGCUGUUUUGACGUUACCAACAGAAUAAGCACCGGCUAACUUCGUG
RNAcentral lists this ribosomal RNA (484 nucleotides) under uncultured bacterium. Its description in RNAcentral is "partial 16S ribosomal RNA". It matches the Rfam family "Bacterial small subunit ribosomal RNA", at positions 30 to 507 of the family's 1533-position model. The record is from RNAcentral.